This 1299-nucleotide small RNA is filed under the name uncultured Comamonadaceae bacterium. Its description in RNAcentral is "bacterial SSU rRNA". The stretch from base 1 to 482 matches the Rfam family "Bacterial small subunit ribosomal RNA", at positions 1045 to 1533 of the family's 1533-position model. The record is from RNAcentral. Lineage: Bacteria; Pseudomonadati; Pseudomonadota; Betaproteobacteria; Burkholderiales; Comamonadaceae.
AUGGCUGUCGUCAGCUCGUGUCGUGAGAUGUUGGGUUAAGUCCCGCAACGAGCGCAACCCUUGUCAUUAGUUGCUACGAAAGGGCACUCUAAUGAGACUGCCGGUGACAAACCGGAGGAAGGUGGGGAUGACGUCAGGUCCUCAUGGCCCUUAUGGGUAGGGCUACACACGUCAUACAAUGGCCGGUACAGAGGGUCGCCAACCCGCGAGGGGGAGCCAAUCCCAGAAAACCGGUCGUAGUCCGGAUCGCAGUCUGCAACUCGACUGCGUGAAGUCGGAAUCGCUAGUAAUCGCGGAUCAGCUUGCCGCGGUGAAUACGUUCCCGGGUCUUGUACACACCGCCCGUCACACCAUGGGAGCGGGUUCUGCCAGAAGUAGUUAGCCUAACCGCAAGGAGGGCGAUUACCACGGCAGGGUUCGUGACUGGGGUGAAGUCGUAACAAGGUAGCCGUAUCGGAAGGUGCGGCUGGAUCACCUCCUUUCUGGAAAAAUGCACUCAAGUUCUUGCGUCCACGCUUAUCGGCUGUAAUUCAAAACAACAGUGGAAGUGCGCGUGGGGCCUGGUUAGAACGUUGGAUGGGCUGAUAGAUAGACAUCUGACAGGCCGGGCCGACGCGAACAGACUCAUGUGUCACCUGGCUGCACCGACCGACGAGGUUGCUGCGGCCUGUGCCGAUUACGUGGGUCUGUAGCUCAGUUGGUUAGAGCAUCGUCUUGAUAAGGCGGGGGUCGUUGGUUCGAAUCCAACCAGACCCACCACACGUCAAUCGGGGGAUUAGCUCAGCUGGGAGAGCACCUGCUUUGCAAGCAGGGGGUCGUCGGUUCGAUCCCGACAUCCUCCACCACUUCUACGCGCAUCGGUGCAAACCCAAGCGGCUGUCAGUUUACUGACGGGCCGCUUUGGUUUGCCAUCGAAAGUUGGCUGUUGUUCUUUAACAAUUUAUAGAGUCGAAUCUACAUCGUCGACGGAAAGCAUACAGGGGUAAAGGCCUGGCUGCACCGUGCCGUCGACGAUAUUAUGAUUGCGUCAACAGAUAUAUUCAACUCUGCAGUAUUUUAGAUACGAGAGAUUGAUAGGCAAACGCGAAAUACUCAAAUAUUGACUAUCCAGUCAAUGAUUUCAGUCCUUGACGAUGUCACCUUAGUCGGGUGACGUCAAAGUUAUAGGGUCAAGUGACUAAGUGCAUGUGGUGGAUGCCUUGGCGAUUACAGGCGACGAAGGACGUGAUAGCCUGCGAUAAGCUUCGGGGAGCUGGCAAAUUAGCUUUGAUCCGGAGAUUUCCGAAUGGGGAAACCCGG